AGAGUUUGAUCAUGGCUCAGAUUGAACGCUGGCGGCAGGCUUCACACAUGCAAGUCGAACGGUAACAGGAAGGAAGCUUGCUUUCUUUGCUGACGAGUGGCGGACGGGUGAGUAAUGCUUGGGAAUCUGGCUUAUGGAGGGGGAUAACUACGGGAAACUGUAGCUAAUACCGCGUAAUAUCUUCGGAUUAAAGGGUGGGACUUUCGGGCCACCUGCCAUAAGAUGAGCCCAAGUGGGAUUAGGUAGUUGGUGGGGUAAAGGCCUACCAAGCCGACGAUCUCUAGCUGGUCUGAGAGGAUGACCAGCCACACUGGAACUGAGACACGGUCCAGACUCCUACGGGAGGCAGCAGUGGGGAGUAUUGCACAAUGGGGGGAACCCUGAUGCAGCCAUGCCGCGUGAAUGAAGAAGGCCUUCGGGUUGUAAAGUUCUUUCGGUGAUGAGGAAGGUGUUUGUUUUAAUAGAACAAGCAAUUGACGUUAGUCACAGAAGAAGCACCGGCUAACUCCGUGCCAGCAGCCGCGGUAAUACGGAGGGUGCGAGCGUUAAUCGGAAUGACUGGGCGUAAAGGGCACGCAGGCGGUGACUUAAGUGAGAUGUGAAAGCCCCGAGCUUAACUUGGGAAUUGCAUUUCAUACUGGGUCGCUAGAGUAUUUUAGGGAGGGGUAGAAUUCCACGUGUAGCGGUGAAAUGCGUAGAGAUGUGGAGGAAUACCGAAGGCGAAGGCAGCCCCUUGGGAAUAUACUGACGCUCAUGUGCGAAAGCGUGGGGAGCAAACAGGAUUAGAUACCCUGGUAGUCCACGCUGUAAACGCUGUCGAUUUGGGGAUUGGGCUUAGAGCUUGGUGCCCGUAGCU
RNAcentral lists this ribosomal RNA (856 nucleotides) under uncultured bacterium. RNAcentral's name for it is "bacterial SSU rRNA". It matches the Rfam family "Bacterial small subunit ribosomal RNA", at positions 8 to 853 of the family's 1533-position model. The record is from RNAcentral.